This 500-nucleotide ribosomal RNA is filed under the name uncultured bacterium. RNAcentral describes it as "partial 16S ribosomal RNA". It matches the Rfam family "Bacterial small subunit ribosomal RNA", at positions 30 to 523 of the family's 1533-position model. The record is from RNAcentral.
AUUGAACGCUGGCGGCAUGCCUUACACAUGCAAGUCGAACGGCAGCACGGGAGCAAUCCUGGUGGCGAGUGGCGAACGGGUGAGUAAAGUAUCGGAACGUGCCCAGUCGUGGGGGAUAACGUAGCGAAAGUUACGCUAAUACCGCAUACGAUCUACGGAUGAAAGCGGGGGAUCGCAAGACCUCGCGCGAUUGGAGCGGCUGAUAUCAGAUUAGGUAGUUGGUGGGGUAAAGGCUCACCAAGCCGACGAUCUGUAGCUGGUCUGAGAGGACGACCAGCCACACUGGGACUGAGACACGGCCCAGACUCCUACGGGAGGCAGCAGUGGGGAAUUUUGGACAAUGGGCGCAAGCCUGAUCCAGCCAUGCCGCGUGCAGGAUGAAGGCCUUCGGGUUGUAAACUGCUUUUGUACGGAACGAAAAGGUUUGGCCUAAUAAGCUGAGCUCAUGACGGUACCGUAAGAAUAAGCACCGGCUAACUACGUGCCAGCAGCCGCGGUAA